Molecule: long non-coding RNA, 993 nt
Organism: Cryptomeria japonica (Japanese cedar)
Lineage: Eukaryota; Viridiplantae; Streptophyta; Pinopsida; Cupressales; Cupressaceae
Exons: 2
Source: RefSeq, a predicted model, not a curated record
AAGCAAGCGAUAUUUCACACUCCUGUGUAGAUUAUAACGUACACUUUGGUUUAUUCAAUAAAAAAAACAUUCCUAUACAAACGUCUUUAGAGCUGCCAGCUCUCCUUUAAAAUAUACGUUGAAGUACAGCAAUCGCCAAAAACUCCAUAUUCCGAAAUCCCAGGCAAACAUCGGACCCUGUUAUAAAUUGUGCAGUAUUAAGAAAUAACAAUGGCGCAAAUUGCAGGCGGCGAAGGAAGCCGGGUUUCGUCCACGCUUACGUUGGGUGAAACACCUUCACCGCCGACGCAGCAGGUUCUGACGCUCCGCUUGGCCCCUCGCCGACGAAAGACGGUCACAUGGAAGGAAGGCACCGUUGAUAAUGAGUUCAUGAACAAGAAGAGCUCUAAAAAAUGCUGUAUUUUCCACAGGGAGAAGCCCUUUGAUGAAGACGACAGUGACGACGACAAUGACGAAAGCCGAAGAAAAGAGAGGGACAAUUCUAUGCAAUGUGACCGUGGCCAAAGCAGUGGCGGGAAUUCCUGCUCGCACCAGCACUAGGGCAUGCGAAAUUUGGGCAUUCGGUAGUUUUCGUUGUAGGGUUUUUAAUAAUCAAACACUCGAUGUCUCGAAGAGCAUCAUGUAAAGCAGACAUGGUAAUACUUAUUCGAGCUCUUUAUAUUGUUACAUAUUAUUUCUGUGCCUGGGAUAUUUUCAAAGAAAUGUGUAUUUACGUGUUAUCAUACAAUUAAUGGACUGGUUGGAAUAUUUUGAAGCUAUGGAGUGUGGAUUCAUGACUUCGUUUUAUGUGAUUGUUGUUUAUGGAAUGCUUUAUCUUGGCAAAGAUAGGGCAAGAUAAAUGACCUAUGUCCCAAAAUUACAGGAAGCAAAAGGUAUGAGACUGGGAUCUAUGAUAUCUGGCUAAUAAAACCAUGAAUUGUGGAUUAGCACAAAUCUCUCAAAGAUUGAUUGUAAUGUCCACUAUAAAGAUAAAAGGAAACGGUUUUUUUAUUA